CGCGUAGGUGGUAGUGAAAGUCUAUGGUGGAAUCUUAGGGCUUAACCCUAAAACUGCCUUGGAAACUUCAUUACUUGAGUCAGUGAGGGGAGGGUAGAAUUCCUGGUGUAGCGGUGAAAUGCGUAGAUAUCAGGAGGAAGGCCGGUGGCGAAGGCGGCCCUCUGGCGCUGAACUGACGCUGAGGCGCGAAAGCGUGGGUAGCAAACAGGAUUAGAUACCCUGGUAGUCCACGCCCUAAACGGUGGGUACUAGGUGUAGGGCUCGUAAGGGUUCUGUGCCGAAGGGAAACCAUUAAGUACCCCGCCUGGGAGUACGGCCGCAAGGUUGAA
This 329-nucleotide ribosomal RNA is filed under the name uncultured bacterium. Its description in RNAcentral is "bacterial SSU rRNA". It matches the Rfam family "Bacterial small subunit ribosomal RNA", at positions 568 to 898 of the family's 1533-position model. The record is from RNAcentral.